CCCGGCGACCGGCGCACGGGUGAGCAACACGUAUGCAACCUGGCCGCCACAGGGGGAUAACCCGCGGAAACGCGGCCUAAUACCCCGUGACGCCACCGGAGGGCAUCCUCCGGUGGCCAAAGGAGCGACCCGGUGGCGGAUGGGCAUGCGGCGCAUUAGCUAGACGGCGGGGUGACGGCCCACCGUGGCGACGAUGCGUAGGGGUUCUGAGAGGAAGGCCCCCCACACUGGGACUGAGACACGGCCCAGACUCCUACGGGAGGCAGCAG
RNAcentral lists this ribosomal RNA (269 nucleotides) under uncultured bacterium. RNAcentral describes it as "partial 16S ribosomal RNA". It matches the Rfam family "Bacterial small subunit ribosomal RNA", at positions 87 to 354 of the family's 1533-position model. The record is from RNAcentral.